RNAcentral lists this ribosomal RNA (165 nucleotides) under uncultured bacterium. Its description in RNAcentral is "partial 16S rRNA". It matches the Rfam family "Bacterial small subunit ribosomal RNA", at positions 355 to 511 of the family's 1533-position model. The record is from RNAcentral.
UAGGGAAUCUUCGGCAAUGGGGGCAACCCUGACCGAGCAACGCCGCGUGAGUGAAGAAGGUUUUCGGAUCGUAAAGCUCUGUUGUAAGAGAAGAACGUGUGUGAGAGUGGAAAGUUCACACAGUGACGGUAACUUACCAGAAAGGGACGGCCAACUACGUGCCAG